This 335-nucleotide long non-coding RNA is filed under the name Bos taurus (domestic cattle). RNAcentral describes it as "long non-coding RNA NONBTAT019605". Lineage: Eukaryota; Metazoa; Chordata; Mammalia; Artiodactyla; Bovidae. The record is from RNAcentral.
GCUUCUGGCAAGCAUGCAACUGCAUUCUUAAAUUUCUCUACUUUCACACUUCUUUCUGCAACAUCAGUCUGCCAACAAAUCCAUCACAGAAUAUAUGUUCUUGCUAAAUGGUGAUGAGAAGAGAGUAACCUUUCUUCCAGAGACUGUCACUUUAGGCUAAACUUUAUUAUUACAUGCAUCUAGAUCAUGAAAGGGAAGUAAACUUUACAUAAGCUAUUUUUAUUUGUCAUGUGUUUCUAUAAAGAAGAAAAGUGUUGUCUUAAUUGCAAACAAAGUCUUGCUUCUUUGAUCAAACUUUUCAUCUUCUUGGUGACCUUCGUAGAUCUCUUAAAAAU